ACAGGUACAGACUAGGAGAUGUCGUGAAGGUUAUGGGAUACCAUAAGUCAACCCCAGAACUUAAAUUUGGAUACAGGAGGAGCGUACUACUCACUAUAAACAUCGNGAACACUGAGAAAGACUUACAGUUGUCUGUGGAAGAAGCAGCCAAGCUAUUAGCUGGGGAGAAACUUGAACUUGUUGAUUUCAGCAGUAUAGUGG
Molecule: unclassified non-coding RNA, 201 nt
Filed under: Hevea brasiliensis (rubber tree)
Lineage: Eukaryota; Viridiplantae; Streptophyta; Magnoliopsida; Malpighiales; Euphorbiaceae
Source: RNAcentral